This 707-nucleotide long non-coding RNA is filed under the name Brachypodium distachyon (stiff brome). Its description in RNAcentral is "long non-coding RNA (BDIS_LNC001259)". The record is from RNAcentral. Lineage: Eukaryota; Viridiplantae; Streptophyta; Magnoliopsida; Poales; Poaceae.
AAAACAAGAAGCCAUCUUGACCAUUUAGGCAUUUACUCGAUCAUCAACGAGGAAUCACUAUAUAUUACAGUCCCACUGAGAGCCUACAUUGCAUUGAUCUUAAUUAAUCUACCUACUGUUCGAACACCAAGUAAAGACCGGGGCACCGAUCUUCUCGAGUCUCCUUAAUUAAAUUUCCCCCCUCUUUUCUGAUCACAAGUUCCUCUCUACAGAAAACAGACCAAGAAGGGAUGAACAUGAACGCCUCGAUUAAUUCCAGAGCCCAGCAGCUUUGCCCUCUAAGCUUGAAGUGCAUCAGAGAGAAGUGCAUCUGCCUGGCCCGGGCCUCAGCUCCUGUUGUGUAUCGGGUCCGAGCCACGCCGGACUCUCCACUUGCUCAUCUGCGCAGCGGCGGCGUCCAAGGUCGCAGCGGCGAACCGCUUCGUCGUCGUGUCAAUGCCAGCGCUGAGGCGGCCCGCGGCAGGGGCCGGAGCCGGCCCCGGCGCCAUGAGAAGCUCCGUUCUCCUCACGCCAAGCACCGGUGCGGGGCGCACUAGCAUGAGACAAAGCAAGCAAGAGACGGCGAGCAGCCUCGUCCUGCUGCUGCUGCUGCUGCUUGUGUGCCGUGCCAUGGUCUCUGCUUCUGCUUCUGCUGCUGCUGCUCAGGUGGAGACAUAAAUAUUUGCUGCUCUAAUUCUUGGCAGUACAAGGAUCAAUCAUAGCGAUGG